AGAGUUUGAUCCUGGCUCAGGACGAACGCUGGCGGCGUGCUUAACACAUGCAAGUCACGGGGGUCCCGCAAGGGAUAACCGGCGAACGGGUGCGUAACACGUGAGCGACCUGCCUCUCCGCGGGGGAUAGCCGGCCCAACGGCCGGGUAAUACCGCAUACGUUCAGUUUGGGGCAUCCCGAACUGAGGAAACCUCCGGGGCGGAGAGAGGGGCUCGCGGCCUAUCAGCUAGUUGGCGGGGUAAUGGCCCACCAAGGCAGCGACGGGUAGCUGGUCUGAGAGGAUGGCCAGCCACAUUGGGACUGAGAAACGGCCCAGACUCCUACGGGAGGCAGCAGUGGGGAAUCUUGCGCAAUGGCCUAACGGCUGACGCAGCGACGCCGCGUGUGGGAGGACGCCCUUCGGGGUGUAAACCACUGUUGCCCGGGACGAACAGCCUGAUUCAUCAGGCCUGACGGUACCGGGUGAGGAAGCACCGGCUAACUCCGUGCCAGCAGCGGCGGUAAUAC
This 508-nucleotide ribosomal RNA is filed under the name uncultured bacterium. Its description in RNAcentral is "bacterial SSU rRNA". It matches the Rfam family "Bacterial small subunit ribosomal RNA", at positions 8 to 526 of the family's 1533-position model. The record is from RNAcentral.